GUCGACGAGUUCUCGUUGAUGAUCGGUGCUUGCACCGAGAUUCAACAUCGAACGAGUGGCGGACGGGUGAGUAACACGUGGGUAACCUGCCCUUAAGUGGGGGAUAACAUUUGGAAACAGAUGCUAAUACCGCAUAGAUCCAAGAACCGCAUGGUUCUUGGCUGAAAGAUGGCGUAAGCUAUCGCUUUUGGAUGGACCCGCGGCGUAUUAGCUAGUUGGUGAGGUAAUGGCUCACCAAGGCGAUGAUACGUAGCCGAACUGAGAGGUUGAUCGGCCACAUUGGGACUGAGACACGGCCCAAACUCCUACGGGAGGCAGCAGUAGGGAAUCUUCCACAAUGGACGCAAGUCUGAUGGAGCAACGCCGCGUGAGUGAAGAAGGCUUUCGGGUCGUAAAACUCUGUUGUUGGAGAAGAAUGGUCGGCAGAGUAACUGUUGUCGGCGUGACGGUAUCCAACCAGAAAGCCACGGCUAACUACGUGCCAGCAGCCGCGGUAAUACGUAGGUGGCAAGCGUUAUCCGGAUUUAUUGGGCGUAAAGCGAGCGCAGGCGGUUUUUUAAGUCUGAUGUGAAAGCCCUCGGCUUAACCGAGGAAGCGCAUCGGAAACUGGGAAACUUGAGUGCAGAAGAGGACAGUGGAACUCCAUGUGUAGCGGUGAAAUGCGUAGAUAUAUGGAAGAACACCAGUGGCGAAGGCGGCUGUCUGGUCUGUAACUGACGCUGAGGCUCGAAAGCAUGGGUAGCGAACAGGAUUAGAUACCCUGGUAGUCCAUGCCGUAAACGAUGAAUGCUA
RNAcentral lists this ribosomal RNA (792 nucleotides) under uncultured bacterium. Its description in RNAcentral is "bacterial SSU rRNA". It matches the Rfam family "Bacterial small subunit ribosomal RNA", at positions 61 to 818 of the family's 1533-position model. The record is from RNAcentral.